Molecule: ribosomal RNA, 393 nt
Filed under: uncultured bacterium
Lineage: Bacteria
Description: bacterial SSU rRNA
Rfam family: Bacterial small subunit ribosomal RNA
Source: RNAcentral
AUUGCACAAUGGGCGAAAGCCUGAUGCAGCAACGCCGCGUGAGCGAUGAAGGCCUUCGGGUCGUAAAGCCCUGUCCUCAAGGAAGAUAAUGACGGCACCUGAGGAGGAAGCGCCGGCUAACUACGUGCCAGCAGCCGCGGUAACACGUAGGGGGCUAGCGUUAUCCGGAAUUACUGGGCGUAAAGGGUGCGUAGGUGGUUUCUUAAGUCAGAGGUGAAAGGCUACGGCUCAACCGUAGUAAGCCUUUGAAACUGGGAAACUUGAGUGCAGGAGAGGAGAGUGGAAUUCCUAGUGUAGCGGUGAAAUGCGUAGAUAUUAGGGGGAACACCAGUUGCGAAAGCGGCUCUCUGGACUGUAACUGACACUGAGGCACGAAAGCGUGGGGAGCAAACA